This 496-nucleotide ribosomal RNA is filed under the name uncultured bacterium. Its description in RNAcentral is "partial 16S ribosomal RNA". It matches the Rfam family "Bacterial small subunit ribosomal RNA", at positions 29 to 507 of the family's 1533-position model. The record is from RNAcentral.
AUGAACGCUGGCGGCGUGCCUCAUACCUGCCAGUCGCGCGAACAGACGAGGAGCUUGCUCCUCUGACGUUAGCGGCGGACGGGUGAGUAACACGUGGAUAACCUACCUAUAAGACUGGGAUAACUUCGGGAAACCGGAGCUAAUACCGGAUAAUAUAUUGAACCGCAUGGUUCAAUAGUGAAAGACGGUUUUGCUGUCACUUAUAGAUGGAUCCGCGCCGCAUUAGCUAGUUGGUAAGGUAACGGCUUACCAAGGCGACGAUGCGUAGCCGACCUGAGAGGGUGAUCGGCCACACUGGAACUGAGACACGGUCCAGACUCCUACGGGAGGCAGCAGUAGGGAAUCUUCCGCAAUGGGCGAAGGCCUGACGGAGCAACGCCGCGUGAGUGAUGAAGGUCUUCGGAUCGUAAAACUCUGUUAUUAGGGAAGAACAAAUGUGUAAGUAACUAUGCACGUCUUGACGGUACCUAAUCAGAAAGCCACGGCUAACUACGUG